This 354-nucleotide ribosomal RNA is filed under the name bacterium LimB-10-J-152. Its description in RNAcentral is "bacterial SSU rRNA". It matches the Rfam family "Bacterial small subunit ribosomal RNA", at positions 289 to 655 of the family's 1533-position model. RNAcentral also lists the same sequence under 2 other names. The record is from RNAcentral.
GGCCUGAGAGGGUGACCGGCCACACUGGGACUGAGACACGGCCCAGACUCCUACGGGAGGCAGCAGUGGGGAAUAUUGCACAAUGGGCGAAAGCCUGAUGCAGCGACGCCGCGUGAGGGAUGACGGCCUUCGGGUUGUAAACCUCUUUCAGCAGGGAAGAAGCGAAAGUGACGGUACCUGCAGAAGAAGCGCCGGCUAACUACGUGCCAGCAGCCGCGGUAAUACGUAGGGCGCAAGCGUUAUCCGGAAUUAUUGGGCGUAAAGAGCUCGUAGGCGGUUUGUCGCGUCUGCUGUGAAAGCCCGGGGCUCAACCCCGGGUCUGCAGUGGGUACGGGCAGACUAGAGUGCAGUAGG